This 1551-nucleotide ribosomal RNA is filed under the name Klebsiella pneumoniae. RNAcentral's name for it is "bacterial SSU rRNA". It matches the Rfam family "Bacterial small subunit ribosomal RNA". Lineage: Bacteria; Pseudomonadati; Pseudomonadota; Gammaproteobacteria; Enterobacterales; Enterobacteriaceae. The record is from RNAcentral.
AAAUUGAAGAGUUUGAUCAUGGCUCAGAUUGAACGCUGGCGGCAGGCCUAACACAUGCAAGUCGAGCGGUAGCACAGAGAGCUUGCUCUCGGGUGACGAGCGGCGGACGGGUGAGUAAUGUCUGGGAAACUGCCUGAUGGAGGGGGAUAACUACUGGAAACGGUAGCUAAUACCGCAUAACGUCGCAAGACCAAAGUGGGGGACCUUCGGGCCUCAUGCCAUCAGAUGUGCCCAGAUGGGAUUAGCUAGUAGGUGGGGUAACGGCUCACCUAGGCGACGAUCCCUAGCUGCUGGUCUGAGAGGAUGACCAGCCACACUGGAACUGAGACACGGUCCAGACUCCUACGGGAGGCAGCAGUGGGGAAUAUUGCACAAUGGGCGCAAGCCUGAUGCAGCCAUGCCGCGUGUGUGAAGAAGGCCUUCGGGUUGUAAAGCACUUUCAGCGGGGAGGAAGGCGUUAAGGUUAAUAACCUUGGCGAUUGACGUUACCCGCAGAAGAAGCACCGGCUAACUCCGUGCCAGCAGCCGCGGUAAUACGGAGGGUGCAAGCGUUAAUCGGAAUUACUGGGCGUAAAGCGCACGCAGGCGGUCUGUCAAGUCGGAUGUGAAAUCCCCGGGCUCAACCUGGGAACUGCAUUCGAAACUGGCAGGCUAGAGUCUUGUAGAGGGGGGUAGAAUUCCAGGUGUAGCGGUGAAAUGCGUAGAGAUCUGGAGGAAUACCGGUGGCGAAGGCGGCCCCUGGACAAAGACUGACGCUCAGGUGCGAAAGCGUGGGGAGCAAACAGGAUUAGAUACCCUGGUAGUCCACGCCGUAAACGAUGUCGAUUUGGAGGUUGUGCCCUUGAGGCGUGGCUUCCGGAGCUAACGCGUUAAAUCGACCGCCUGGGGAGUACGGCCGCAAGGUUAAAACUCAAAUGAAUUGACGGGGGCCCGCACAAGCGGUGGAGCAUGUGGUUUAAUUCGAUGCAACGCGAAGAACCUUACCUGGUCUUGACAUCCACAGAACUUUCCAGAGAUGGAUUGGUGCCUUCGGGAACUGUGAGACAGGUGCUGCAUGGCUGUCGUCAGCUCGUGUUGUGAAAUGUUGGGUUAAGUCCCGCAACGAGCGCAACCCUUAUCCUUUGUUGCCAGCGGUUAGGCCGGGAACUCAAAGGAGACUGCCAGUGAUAAACUGGAGGAAGGUGGGGAUGACGUCAAGUCAUCAUGGCCCUUACGACCAGGGCUACACACGUGCUACAAUGGCAUAUACAAAGAGAAGCGACCUCGCGAGAGCAAGCGGACCUCAUAAAGUAUGUCGUAGUCCGGAUUGAGUCUGCAACUCGACUCCAUGAAGUCGGAAUCGCUAGUAAUCGUAGAUCAGAAUGCUACGGUGAAUACGUUCCCGGGCCUUGUACACACCGCCCGUCACACCAUGGGAGUGGGUUGCAAAAGAAGUAGGUAGCUUAACCUUCGGGAGGGCGCUUACCACUUUGUGAUUCAUGACUGGGGUGAAGUCGUAACAAGGUAACCGUAGGGGAACCUGCGGUUGGAUCACCUCCUUACCUUAAAGAA